Molecule: ribosomal RNA, 254 nt
Filed under: uncultured bacterium
Lineage: Bacteria
Description: partial 16S ribosomal RNA
Rfam family: Bacterial small subunit ribosomal RNA
Source: RNAcentral
GACGAACCGUGCGAACGUUAUUCGGAAUCACUGGGCUUAAAGCGCGUGUAGGCGGAUGGGAACGUCGGUCGUUGAAAGCCCCCGGCUCAACCGGGGAAGUGGUGCCGAAACGACCCGUCUGGAGGGACGUAGGGGGACCUGGAACUUCCGGUGGAGCGGUGAAAUGCGUAGAUAUCUGGAGGAACACCGGUGGCGAAGGCGGCAUCCUGGACCGAGAUUGACGCUGAUGCGCGAAAGCCAGGGGAGCAAACGGG